GACGAACGCUGGCGGCGUGCUUAACACAUGCAAGUCGUACGGUAAGGCCCUUUCGGGGGUACACGAGUGGCGAACGGGUGAGUAACACGUGAGUAACCUGCCCACAACUUUGGGAUAACGCUAGGAAACUGGUGCUAAUACUGGAUAUGUGCUCCUGCUGCAUGGUGGGGGUUGGAAAGCUCCGGCGGUUGUGGAUGGACUCGCGGCCUAUCAGCUUGUUGGUGGGGUAGUGGCCUACCAAGGCGGCGACGGGUAGCCGGCCUGAGAGGGUGACCGGCCACAGUGGGACUGAGAUACGGCCCAGACUCCUACGGGAGGCAGCAGUGGGGAAUAUUGCACAAGGGGCGCAAGCCGGAUGCAGCAACGCCGCGGGCGGGAUGACGGCCUUCGGGUUGUAAACCGCUUUCAGCAGGGACGAAGCUUUUUGUGACGGUACCUGCAGAAGAAGCACCGGCUAACUACGUG
RNAcentral lists this ribosomal RNA (465 nucleotides) under uncultured bacterium. RNAcentral describes it as "partial 16S ribosomal RNA". It matches the Rfam family "Bacterial small subunit ribosomal RNA", at positions 28 to 507 of the family's 1533-position model. The record is from RNAcentral.